Molecule: ribosomal RNA, 751 nt
Filed under: uncultured crenarchaeote
Lineage: Archaea; Thermoproteati; Thermoproteota
Description: bacterial SSU rRNA
Rfam family: Archaeal small subunit ribosomal RNA
Source: RNAcentral
GGUUGAUCCUGCCGGACCCCACUGCUAUCGGCAUAUGACUAAGACAUGCCAGUCGAGCGCACUCAAGCUAACAUGAGAGCGCGGCAUACAGCUCAGUAACACGUGGCUAACCUGCCCUCGGGACGGAGACAACCCCGGGAAACUGGGGCUAAUCCCCGAUAGGCGAAGAACUCUGGAAUGAGUCUCCGCCCAAAAGACGCUUACGCCAUGCUCGUAGGCGCCGCCCAAGGAUGGGGCCGCGUCCGAUCAGGUUGUUGGUGAGGUAACGGCUCACCAAGCCUUUUACCGGUGCGGGCCGUGAGAGCGGGAGCCCGGAGAUGGGCACUGAGACAAGGGCCCAGGCCCUACGGGGCGCAGCAGUCGCGAAAACUUUGCAAUACACGAAAGUGUGACAGGGCUAUCCCGAGUGCCAUCCGCUGAGGAAGGCUUUUACCCAGUAUAGACAGCUGGGAGAAUAAGGAGAGGGCAAGACUGGUGUCAGCCGCCGCGGUAAUACCAGCUCUCCGAGUGGUGUGGAUGUUUACUGGGCCUAAAGCAUCCGUAGCUGGCUGGGCAAGUCCCCUGUUAAAUCCACCGAUUUAAUCGUUGGUUUGCGGGGGAUACUGUUCGGCUAGGGGACGGGAGAGGCCGACGGUAUUUUCGGGGUAGGGGUGAAAUCCUAUAAUCCCGGGAAGACCACCAGUGGCGAAGGCUGUCGGCUAGAACGCGCCCGACGGUGAGGGAUGAAAGCUGGGGGAGCGAACCGGAUUAG